Non-coding RNA from Aegilops tauschii subsp. strangulata, 829 nucleotides. NCBI's taxonomy places the organism in Eukaryota, Viridiplantae, Streptophyta, Magnoliopsida, Poales, Poaceae. The record is from RefSeq and is a predicted model, not a curated record.
AAGAUCUGUCCAGAGUCAGAGGGGAAGAGAGAGUGAGUCAGCGGGAGAGUGACAGAGAGAGGCGGCCAUGGCGGGGGGGAAAUUAGCCGCGUACCUCAACCUUGUCCUCUCCGGCGACCACCCAACGGCAGAAGAUCCGGCCUCCGCACCACCUUCCCUCCGACCCACCACGAUCCCCUCCUCGCGUGACCCCUUUCCCCUCCUCCCGUCAGCCCCCUUUCCUCUCCAGCGUAAGCUCGGGCUCGAACUCCAGAUCCGCGAGCUGCGGAGCAGGCCACCUUGGCGGACAGGCUCCAAUAAGGCCACCACUUGUUGCUACGUGCAUCAGGCCAUCAGAUCAGCAAGUCUGCUUUGGAGAAAAGAAGAGAGAUGAGCAACUGGGAAAACAAUCUGUACUUCAUGUAGUCAUGUACAACUCAUUUGCUGCUGAUUUAAUUUGCUAUCAUUCGCCAUAAGGUUAUGUCUAUGAUGUCGCCAUGCCAUACGCCAUAAGCGUUAUAAUGUUAUGAAUGUUAGCCAUGCUAAGCUUACGUCAUAGGCUAGUGUAGUUUUCUGCUUUUAAUAAACGUUGCAUGGCUGCUGAUGUGACACCUCCAUGCAGCAUGCACGUAGUAGAUGGAGACGUGCCGUACGCACGAUCUCCCUUCCGUUCCUUUUCUGUUUUGUUAACCUGGUCAGCGUGGCGCGCUGUGUAUCUGGAGGUCGUGGGAUGGCAAGGCCAAUCCAGAUCACAGCGAGCUGGCCGGGGUAGUUAGCUGUUUCGGUUUUGUAACAGAUAAGAGAUUAAGGAAAGAGCAGAAAACGCUGCGCAAUUGUGGCAGCACAAAAA